UGAAGUAGUUGAUGCCAAGCUUCCAGGAAAAGCCUCUAAGCAUCAGGUAACAUUAAAUCGUACCCCAAACCGACACAGGUGGUCAGGUAGAGAAUACUCAGGCGCUUGAGAGAACUCGGGUGAAGGAACUAGGCAAAAUGGUGCCGUAACUUCGGGAGAAGGCACGCUGGCAUUAGGUAAAGAGACUUGCUCUCGGCGCUGAAGCCAGUCGCAGAUACCAGCUGGCUGCAACUGUUUAAUAAAAACACAGCACUGUGCAAACACGAAAGUGGACGUAUACGGUGUGACGCCUGCCCGGUGCUGGAAGGUUAAUUGAUGGGGUCAGCCUUACGGCGAAGCUCUUGAUCGAAGCCCCAGUAAACGGCGGCCGUAACUAUAACGGUCCUAAGGUAGCGAAAUUCCUUGUCGGGUAAGUUCCGACCUGCACGAAUGGCGUAAUGAUGGCCAGGCUGUCUCCACCCGAGACUCAGUGAAAUUGAACUCGCUGUGAAGAUGCAGUGUACCCGCGGCAAGACGGAAAGACCCCGUGAACCUUUACUAUAGCUUGACACUGAACAUUGAGCCUUGAUGUGUAGGAUAGGUGGGAGGCAUUGAAGUGUGGACGCCAGUCUGCAUGGAGCCAACCUUGAAAUACCACCCUUUAAUGUUUGAUGUUCUAACUCGGCCCCGUGAUCCGGGGUGAGGACAGUGUCUGGUGGGUAGUUUGACUGGGGCGGUCUCCUCCCAAAGAGUAACGGAGGAGCACGAAGGUUAGCUAAUCACGGUCGGACAUCGUGAGGUUAGUGCAAAGGCAUAAGCUAGCUUGACUGCGAGAGUGACGGCUCGAGCAGGUACGAAAGUAGGUCUUAGUGAUCCGGUGGUUCUGAAUGGAAGGGCCAUCGCUCAACGGAUAAAAGGUACUCCGGGGAUAACAGGCUGAUACCGCCCAAGAGUUCAUAUCGACGGCGGUGUUUGGCACCUCGAUGUCGGCUCAUCACAUCCUGGGGCUGAAGUAGGUCCCAAGGGUAUGGCUGUUCGCCAUUUAAAGUGGUACGCGAGCUGGGUUUAGAACGUCGUGAGACAGUUCGGUCCCUAUCUGCCGUGGGCGUUGGAAGAUUGAGAGGGGCUGCUCCUAGUACGAGAGGACCGGAGUGGACGAAUCACUGGUGUUCGGGUUGUCAUGCCAAUGGCAUUGCCCGGUAGCUAAAUUCGGAAGAGAUAACCGCUGAAAGCAUCUAAGCGGGAAACUUGCCUCGAGAUGAGUCUUCCCUGGGGCUUUAAGCCCCCUGAAGGAACGUUAAAGACUAUGACGUUGAUAGGCUGGGUGUGUAAGUGCAGCGAUGCAUUGAGCUAACCAGUACUAAUGAUCCGUGAGGCUUAACCUU
RNAcentral lists this ribosomal RNA (1364 nucleotides) under Yersinia kristensenii. RNAcentral's name for it is "partial 23S ribosomal RNA". It matches the Rfam family "Bacterial large subunit ribosomal RNA", at positions 1586 to 2925 of the family's 2925-position model. Lineage: Bacteria; Pseudomonadati; Pseudomonadota; Gammaproteobacteria; Enterobacterales; Yersiniaceae. The record is from RNAcentral.